RNAcentral lists this transfer RNA (78 nucleotides) under Acidobacteriota bacterium. Its description in RNAcentral is "tRNA-Trp". It matches the Rfam family "tRNA". From Rfam's summary of the family: Transfer RNA (tRNA) molecules are approximately 80 nucleotides in length. The record is from RNAcentral. RNAcentral also lists the same sequence under 3 other names. Lineage: Bacteria; Pseudomonadati; Acidobacteriota.
AGGGGUGUAGCUCCAACUGGCUAGAGCGGCGGUCUCCAAAACCGUAGGUUCGGGGUUCGAAUCCCCGCACCCCUGCCA